AUACGGAGGGAGCGAGCGUUAAUCGGAAUUACUGGGUGUAAAGGGUGCGUAGGCGGGUAUGUAAGUCAGAUGUGAAAUACCGGGGCUCAACUCCGGGGCUGCAUUUGAAACUGUAUAUCUUGAGUGCAGGAGAGGAAAGCGGAAUUCCUAGUGUAGCGGUGAAAUGCGUAGAGAUUAGGAGGAACACCAGUGGCGAAGGCGGCUUUCUGGACUGUAACUGACGCUGAGGCACGAAAGCGUGGGGAGCGAACAGGAUUAGAAACCCCAGUAGUCC
Molecule: ribosomal RNA, 274 nt
Filed under: uncultured bacterium
Lineage: Bacteria
Description: partial 16S ribosomal RNA
Rfam family: Bacterial small subunit ribosomal RNA
Source: RNAcentral